RNAcentral lists this ribosomal RNA (253 nucleotides) under uncultured bacterium. RNAcentral describes it as "partial 16S ribosomal RNA". It matches the Rfam family "Bacterial small subunit ribosomal RNA", at positions 524 to 776 of the family's 1533-position model. The record is from RNAcentral.
UACGGGGGGGGCAAGCGUUGUUCGGAAUUACUGGGCGUAAAGGGCUUGUAGGUGGCCAACUAAGUCAGACGUGAAAUCCCUCGGCUUAACCGGGGAACUGCGUCUGAUACUGGAUGGCUGGAGUGUGGGAGAGGGAUGCGGAAUUCCAGGUGUAGCGGUGAAAUGCGUAGAUAUCUGGAGGAACACCGGUGGCGAAGGCGGCAUCCUGGGCCAACACUGACGCUCAUGCACGAAAGCGUGGGGAGCAAACAGG